Molecule: ribosomal RNA, 253 nt
Filed under: uncultured bacterium
Lineage: Bacteria
Description: partial 16S ribosomal RNA
Rfam family: Bacterial small subunit ribosomal RNA
Source: RNAcentral
UACGGAGGGGACUAGCGUUGUUCGGAAUUACUGGGCGUAAAGCGCGCGUAGGCGGAUUUGUAAGUCGGGGGUGAAAUCCCGGGGCUCAACCUCGGAACUGCCUUCGAUACUGCAAAUCUCGAGUCCGGAAGAGGUGAGUGGAAUUCCUAGUGUAGAGGUGAAAUUCGUAGAUAUUAGGAAGAACACCAGUGGCGAAGGCGGCUCACUGGUCCGGGACUGACGCUGAGGCGCGAAAGCGUGGGGAGCAAACAGG